GACGAACGCUAGCGGCAGGCUUAAUACAUGCAAGUCGAGGGGCAGCAUGAUUGUAGCAAUACAAUUGAUGGCGACCGGCAAACGGGUGCGGAACACGUACACAACCUUCCAACAAGUGGGGGAUAGCCCAGAGAAAUUUGGAUUAAUACCCCGUAACAUAGCGAUGUGGCAUCACAUUGCUAUUAUAGAUUUUCGCUUGUUGAUGGGUGUGCGGCUGAUUAGAUAGUUGGCGGGGUAACGGCCCACCAAGUCUACGAUCAGUAGCUGAUGUGAGAGCAUGAUCAGCCACACGGGCAAUGAGACACGGGCCCGACUCCUACGGGAGGCAGCAGUAAGGAAUAUUGGACAAAGGACGCAAGUCUGAUCCAGCCAUGCCGCGUGAAGGAUUAAGGUCCUCUGGAUUGUAAACUUCUUUUAUAAGGGACGAAAAAAGGCUUUUCUAAGUCGUCUGACGGUACCUUAUGAAUAAGCACCGGCUAACUCCGUGCCAGCCGCCGCGGUAA
RNAcentral lists this ribosomal RNA (503 nucleotides) under uncultured bacterium. RNAcentral's name for it is "partial 16S ribosomal RNA". It matches the Rfam family "Bacterial small subunit ribosomal RNA", at positions 28 to 523 of the family's 1533-position model. The record is from RNAcentral.